Long non-coding RNA from Homo sapiens (human), 2541 nucleotides. Ensembl annotates it as long intergenic non-protein coding RNA 2980. The record is from Ensembl. Lineage: Eukaryota; Metazoa; Chordata; Mammalia; Primates; Hominidae.
GAGGCUUGUUUUCUAGCGCCUCUGGUGGGCCGCCUCCCGCAGGCCUGGUGUGAGCCUGGGGUCCGUUCUCACAGCUGGAUCUGGGGUCUGAAUGCCGCGCCCUCUGGAGAGCCACAGAUGGGUCUCCGCUGAUGCUUCUCUCAAUUUCCUCUAAGAGCGAGAGCUCCGGGAAAGGAGCCGAUCCUGGUGGAAGACUACAGGUCUGAGUCCACUGGACGAAAAACGAGGCUCUCCUCUUGGGGAAAUAAAACAAUCCUGCCAACCAAAGACCCCUCUGGAUCCUCAAACACGCCAUCAGCAUGGAAGGCCGCUAUGGCAUAGCGAGAGAUAAAUAGGAUUCAGGCAGUGCUGUCCUUACAUCGCAAUCAUUCAGGCUCCUUGGAUUAGAGACCAUCCUGAGGACAUCCUUGGGAGCCAUGUGCUGAAGAUGGCCAAGCCACAGGAUGAAAGGAGCUGCAUCUUUGAGUCACCACUGGAGAAAGGUCUCUCUAAAUGGAUUUGCAGAGACGUCUUCUCGAAUACUCCCCUUCUAAGUUCCACUUGUAAUCCACUUCUUCUAUUCUCCCAGCAAUCAAUGUGGUUUGGGGAAAUUCCAGAAUCUCAUAAUACCUUGGUCAUGGGUAAAUAAGGAAAGGACCUUUACAUACAUGUGAUGCAAAGCAGAUCAAAACAAGCAGAGCAGCCUAAGAGCAGCAAGACCCCAAAGGAUAAGGGAAGUCCUGCAGAAGAGCAGAGCGGUGCUGCAAAGGCAGGCAGGUAAGGUAAGCAGACAGGGCCAUCAGGAUGGAUCCUUUGGGCAUGCCAGCAUCCACCAGGGACUGGUAGAGCUAUUUAGAGAAACUGAUAAAAAGCUCUGCCAACUACAGUCACAAAAGAUGGAGCUCAGAAUGAUGAGUAGAUGCCUAAAACAUCUCCAUUUUGUUGAUGAAGAAAGUAAAGUUUAUAGAGCUUAGAUUAUUUGCUUUUGUACCUAGCACAGUACUUAGUUUAUAGUAGAUGCACAAUAAGUAUUUGUUUAAUGAGUGAAUGAGUCACUAGCCUAAGACCUUUAAUAUAACAUGCUUAAACCUGCUACCAGGGAUUGGGAACUCACCUAUUUAGUAGUGAGUAGAGGGGUGUGGUACUGGUACUUAAGACAGAUGCAUUGUGGUUGGGUAUGGUGUGUUUUUGUUUUUGUUUUGAGACAGGUUCUCCCUCUGUUGCCCAGGCUGAGAUGCAGUGGCAUUAUCAUGGCUCACUGCAGCCUUAACCUCCCGGGGCUCAAGCGAUCCUCCCACCUCAGCCUCUGAGUAGCUGGGACCACAGGUACGCAUCACCGUGCCUGGCUAAUUUUGUUUUUUGUUUGUUUGUUUUGUAGGGACGGGAUUUUGCCAUGUUGCCCAGGUUGGUCUCGAACUCCUGGGCUCAAGCUACACCCGCCCGCCUCGGCCUCCCAAAGUUGUAGGAUUAAGGUGUGAGCCACUGUGUCCAGCAGAUAUAAUGUUUUUAAAAGUUUGAGAGUUAAUAUGCUCUCUGGUGUGCCCUAGGUCCCACUACUCCUAUUGCCUUAAAACUCACGCAGUACACAUUUGUCUUCCAUGGGCUUCAGUUGUAAGAGAACCCUUUCUACUCUUUGCUGUUCACAAGUCUCCUUUUAAACAGAGCUUGUUCCCAAUGCUGUUUUGUUUUGCCCUCUGCCAUGUUCUUCCGGCCAUCACCUCCUGUGGGGAAAAGAGAGAGAGAUCACAUUGUUACUGUGUCUGUGUAGAAAGAAGUAGACAUAGGAGACUCCAUUUUGUUCUGUACUAAGAAAAAUUCUUCUGCCUUGAGAUGCUGUUAAUCUAACCCUAGCCCCAACCCUGUGCUCCCUGAGACAUAUGCUGUGUCAACUCAGGGUUAAAUGGAUUAAGGGCUGUGCAAGAUGUGCUUUGUUAAAGAAAUGCUUGAAGGCAGCAUGCUCGUUAAGAGUCAUCUCCACUCCCUAAUCUCAAGUACUCAGGGACACAAAACACUGAGGAAGGCCACAGGGACCUCUGCCUAGGAAAGCCAGGUAUUGUCCAAGGUUUCUCCCCAUGUGAUAGUCUGAAAUGUGGCCUCGUGGGAAGGGAAAGACCUGACCGUCCCCCAGCCCGACACCCGUAAAGGGUCUGUGCUGAGGAGGAUUAGUAAAAGAGGAAGGAACGCCUCUUUGCAGUUGAGACAAGAGGAAGGCAUCUGUCUCCUGCUCGUCCCUGGGCAAUGGAAUGUCUCAGUGUAAAACCCGAUUGUAUAUUCCAUCUACUGAGAUAGGGGAAAACUGCCUUAGGGCUGGAGGUGGGACAUGCUGGCAGCAAUACUGCUCUUCAAGUCAUUGAGAUGUUUAUGUGUAUGCAUAUCUAAAGCACAGCACUUAAUUCUUUACCUUGUUUAUGAUGCAGAGACCUUUGUUCACGUGUUUACCUGCUGACCUUCUCUCCACUAUUAUCCUUUGACCCUGCCACAUCCCCCUCUCCGAGAAACACCCAAUAAUGAUCAAUAAAUACUAAGGGAACUCAGAGGCCGGUGGGAUCCUCCGUAUGCUGA